UACGGAGGGUGCAAGCGUUAUCCGGAUUCACUGGGUUUAAAGGGUGCGUAGGUGGGUUGGUAAGUCAGUGGUGAAAUCUCCGUGCUUAACAUGGAAACUGCCAUUGAUACUACUGGUCUCGAAUUUUCUGGAGGUAAGCGGAAUAUGUCAUGUAGCGGUGAAAUGCUUAGAUAUGACAUAGAACACCAAUUGCGAAGGCAGCUUACUACAGGGACAUUGACACUGAGGCACGAAAGCGUGGGGAUCAAACAGG
This 253-nucleotide ribosomal RNA is filed under the name uncultured bacterium. RNAcentral describes it as "partial 16S ribosomal RNA". It matches the Rfam family "Bacterial small subunit ribosomal RNA", at positions 524 to 776 of the family's 1533-position model. The record is from RNAcentral.